This 467-nucleotide ribosomal RNA is filed under the name uncultured bacterium. Its description in RNAcentral is "bacterial SSU rRNA". It matches the Rfam family "Bacterial small subunit ribosomal RNA", at positions 329 to 794 of the family's 1533-position model. The record is from RNAcentral.
GUCCAGACUCCUACGGGAGGCAGCAGUGAGGAAUAUUGGUCAAUGGGCGGGAGCCUGAACCAGCCAAGUCGCGUGAGGGACGACGGUCCUAUGGAUUGUAAACCUCUUUUGUCGGGGAACAAAGGCGCCCACGGGUGGGCGGAUGAGUGUACCCGAAGAAAAAGCAUCGGCUAACUCCGUGCCAGCAGCCGCGGUAAUACGGAGGAUGCGAGCGUUAUCCGGAUUUAUUGGGUUUAAAGGGUGCGUAGGCGGGCUGUUAAGUCAGCGGUCAAAUGUCGGGGCUCAACCCCGGCCUGCCGUUGAAACUGGCAGUCUCGAGUUGGAGAGAAGUAUGCGGAAUGCGCGGUGUAGCGGUGAAAUGCAUAGAUAUCGCGCAGAACUCCGAUUGCGAAGGCAGCACGCCGGCGCCACACUGACGCUGAGGCACGAAAGCGUGGGUAUCGAACAGGAUUAGAUACCCCUGUAGC